UUAAGCGACUAAGCGUACACGGUGGAUGCCCUGGCAGUCAGAGGCGAUGAAGGACGUGCUAAUCUGCGAUAAGCGUCGGUAAGGUGAUAUGAACCGUUAUAACCGGCGAUUUCCGAAUGGGGAAACCCAGUGUGAUUCGUCACACUAUCAUUAACUGAAUUCAUAGGUUAAUGAGGCGAACCGGGGGAACUGAAACAUCUAAGUACCCCGAGGAAAAGAAAUCAACCGAGAUUCCCCCAGUAGCGGCGAGCGAACGGGGAGGAGCCCAGAGCCUGAAUCAGUGUGUGUGUUAGUGGAAGCGUCUGGAAAGGCGCGCGAUACAGGGUGACAGCCCCGUACACAAAAAUGCACAUGCUGUGAGCUCGAUGAGUAGGGCGGGACACGUGGUAUCCUGUCUGAAUAUGGGGGGACCAUCCUCCAAGGCUAAAUACUCCUGACUGACCGAUAGUGAACCAGUACCGUGAGGGAAAGGCGAAAAGAACCCCGGCGAGGGGAGUGAAAAAGAACCUGAAACCGUGUACGUACAAGCAGUGGGAGCCUCUUUAUGGGGUGACUGCGUACCUUUUGUAUAAUGGGUCAGCGACUUAUAUUCUGUAGCAAGGUUAACCGAAUAGGGGAGCCGAAGGGAAACCGAGUCUUAACUGGGCGUUAAGUUGCAGGGUAUAGACCCGAAACCCGGUGAUCUAGCCAUGGGCAGGUUGAAGGUUGGGUAACACUAACUGGAGGACCGAACCGACUAAUGUUGAAAAAUUAGCGGAUGACUUGUGGCUGGGGGUGAAAGGCCAAUCAAACCGGGAGAUAGCUGGUUCUCCCCGAAAGCUAUUUAGGUAGCGCCUCGUGAAUUCAUCUCCGGGGGUAGAGCACUGUUUCGGCAAGGGGGUCAUCCCGACUUACCAACCCGAUGCAAACUGCGAAUACCGGAGAAUGUUAUCACGGGAGACACACGGCGGGUGCUAACGUCCGUCGUGAAGAGGGAAACAACCCAGACCGCCAGCUAAGGUCCCAAAGUCAUGGUUAAGUGGGAAACGAUGUGGGAAGGCCCAGACAGCCAGGAUGUUGGCUUAGAAGCAGCCAUCAUUUAAAGAAAGCGUAAUAGCUCACUGGUCGAGUCGGCCUGCGCGGAAGAUGUAACGGGGCUAAACCAUGCACCGAAGCUGCGGCAGCGACGCUUAUGCGUUGUUGGGUAGGGGAGCGUUCUGUAAGCCUGCGAAGGUGUACUGUGAGGUAUGCUGGAGGUAUCAGAAGUGCGAAUGCUGACAUAAGUAACGAUAAAGCGGGUGAAAAGCCCGCUCGCCGGAAGACCAAGGGUUCCUGUCCAACGUUAAUCGGGGCAGGGUGAGUCGACCCCUAAGGCGAGGCCGAAAGGCGUAGUCGAUGGGAAACAGGUUAAUAUUCCUGUACUUGGUGUUACUGCGAAGGGGGGACGGAGAAGGCUAUGUUGGCCGGGCGACGGUUGUCCCGGUUUAAGCGUGUAGGCUGGUUUUCCAGGCAAAUCCGGAAAAUCAAGGCUGAGGCGUGAUGACGAGGCACUACGGUGCUGAAGCAACAAAUGCCCUGCUUCCAGGAAAAGCCUCUAAGCAUCAGGUAACAUCAAAUCGUACCCCAAACCGACACAGGUGGUCAGGUAGAGAAUACCAAGGCGCUUGAGAGAACUCGGGUGAAGGAACUAGGCAAAAUGGUGCCGUAACUUCGGGAGAAGGCACGCUGAUACGUAGGUGAAGUCCCUUGCGGAUGGAGCUGAAAUCAGUCGAAGAUACCAGCUGGCUGCAACUGUUUAUUAAAAACACAGCACUGUGCAAACACGAAAGUGGACGUAUACGGUGUGACGCCUGCCCGGUGCCGGAAGGUUAAUUGAUGGGGUUAGCGGUAACGCGAAGCUCUUGAUCGAAGCCCCGGUAAACGGCGGCCGUAACUAUAACGGUCCUAAGGUAGCGAAAUUCCUUGUCGGGUAAGUUCCGACCUGCACGAAUGGCGUAAUGAUGGCCAGGCUGUCUCCACCCGAGACUCAGUGAAAUUGAACUCGCUGUGAAGAUGCAGUGUACCCGCGGCAAGACGGAAAGACCCCGUGAACCUUUACUAUAGCUUGACACUGAACAUUGAGCCUUGAUGUGUAGGAUAGGUGGGAGGCUUUGAAGUGUGGACGCCAGUCUGCAUGGAGCCGACCUUGAAAUACCACCCUUUAAUGUUUGAUGUUCUAACGUUGGCCCCUAAUCGGGGUUGCGGACAGUGUCUGGUGGGUAGUUUGACUGGGGCGGUCUCCUCCUAAAGAGUAACGGAGGAGCACGAAGGUUGGCUAAUCCUGGUCGGACAUCAGGAGGUUAGUGCAAUGGCAUAAGCCAGCUUGACUGCGAGCGUGACGGCGCGAGCAGGUGCGAAAGCAGGUCAUAGUGAUCCGGUGGUUCUGAAUGGAAGGGCCAUCGCUCAACGGAUAAAAGGUACUCCGGGGAUAACAGGCUGAUACCGCCCAAGAGUUCAUAUCGACGGCGGUGUUUGGCACCUCGAUGUCGGCUCAUCACAUCCUGGGGCUGAAGUAGGUCCCAAGGGUAUGGCUGUUCGCCAUUUAAAGUGGUACGCGAGCUGGGUUUAGAACGUCGUGAGACAGUUCGGUCCCUAUCUGCCGUGGGCGCUGGAGAACUGAGGGGGGCUGCUCCUAGUACGAGAGGACCGGAGUGGACGCAUCACUGGUGUUCGGGUUGUCAUGCCAAUGGCACUGCCCGGUAGCUAAAUGCGGAAGAGAUAAGUGCUGAAAGCAUCUAAGCACGAAACUUGCCCCGAGAUGAGUUCUCCCUGACUCCUUGAGAGUCCUGAAGGAACGUUGAAGACGACGACGUUGAUAGGCCGGGUGUGUAAGCGCAGCGAUGCGUUGAGCUAACCGGUACUAAUGAACCGUGAGGCUUAACCUU
RNAcentral lists this ribosomal RNA (2903 nucleotides) under Escherichia coli. RNAcentral's name for it is "bacterial LSU rRNA". It matches the Rfam family "Bacterial large subunit ribosomal RNA". Lineage: Bacteria; Pseudomonadati; Pseudomonadota; Gammaproteobacteria; Enterobacterales; Enterobacteriaceae. The record is from RNAcentral.